RNAcentral lists this ribosomal RNA (459 nucleotides) under uncultured bacterium. Its description in RNAcentral is "partial 16S ribosomal RNA". It matches the Rfam family "Bacterial small subunit ribosomal RNA", at positions 338 to 795 of the family's 1533-position model. The record is from RNAcentral.
CCUACGGGCGGCAGCAGUGAGGAAUAUUGGUCAAUGGCCGGAAGGCUGAACCAGCCAAGCCGCGUGAAGGACGAAGGUGCCAAGCAUUGUAAACUUCUUUUGCCAAGGGACAAAAUCAGUCUCGAGAGCCUGACCGAGGGUACGUGAAGAAAAAGCGUCGGCUAACUCCGUGCCAGCAGCCGCGGUAAUACGGGGGAUGCGAGCGUUAUCCGGAUUGAUGGGGUUAAAGGGGUGGGUAGGCGGGCGGUUAAGUCAGCGGUAAAAGCCCGGGGCUCAACCCCGGCGAGCCGUUGAAACUGGCUGUCUGGAGAUGUCGAGAGGUAUGCGGAAUGCGCGGUGUAGCGGUGAAAUGCUUAGAUAUUGCGCAGAACACCGAUUGCGAAGGCAGCAUACCGGCGGCGAUCUGACGCUGAGGCACGAAAGCGUGGGUAUCGAACAGGAUUAGAUACCCCUGUAGUC